CCUACGGGACGCAGCAGUGGGGAAUAUUGCACAAUGGGCGCAAGCCUGAUGCAGCCAUGCCGCGUGUAUGAAGAAGGCCUUCGGGUUGUAAAGUACUUUCAGCGGGGAGGAAGGCGAUAAGGUUAAUAACCUUGUCGAUUGACGUUACCCGCAGAAGAAGCGCCGGCUAACUCCGUGCCAGCAGCCGCGGUAAUACGGAGGGUGCAAGCGUUAAUCGGAAUUACUGGGCGUAAAGCGCACGCGGGCGGUCUGUCAAGUCGGAUGUGAAAUCCCCGGGCUCAACCUGGGAACUGCAUUAGAAACUGGCAGGCUGGAGUCUUGUAGAGGGGGGUAGAAUUCCAGGUGUAGCGGUGAAAUGCGUAGAGAUCUGGAGGAAUACCGGUAGCGAAGGCGGCUCCCUGGACAAAGACUGACGCUCAGGUGCGAAAGCGUGGGGAGCAAACAGGAUUAGAUACCCCAGUAGUC
RNAcentral lists this ribosomal RNA (465 nucleotides) under uncultured bacterium. RNAcentral's name for it is "bacterial SSU rRNA". It matches the Rfam family "Bacterial small subunit ribosomal RNA", at positions 338 to 795 of the family's 1533-position model. The record is from RNAcentral.